This 450-nucleotide ribosomal RNA is filed under the name uncultured bacterium. Its description in RNAcentral is "partial 16S ribosomal RNA". It matches the Rfam family "Bacterial small subunit ribosomal RNA", at positions 338 to 795 of the family's 1533-position model. The record is from RNAcentral.
CCUACGGGGGCUGCAGUGAGGAAUAUUGGGCAAUGCCCGCAAGGGUGACCCAGCAACGCCGCGUGGAGGAUGAAGGCCGUAAGGUUGUAAACUCCUGUUAGAGGAGAAGAAUAGUACCGAUUGGAUCGGUAUUUGACUGUACCCUCAGAGAAAGCCCCGGCUAACUACGUGCCAGCAGCCGCGGUAAUACGUAGGGGGCAAGCGUUUUCCGGAUGUACAGGGUGCGCAGGGCGCGCAGGAAGGAUAGCAAGAAAUCCUACAGCUUAACUGUAGAACUGCCUUUGAUACUGGUAUUCUUGAGUUCGGGAGAGAGAGACGGAAUUCCAGGUGUAGUGGUGAAAUACGUAGAUAUCUGGAAGAACACCAGUUGCGAAGGCGGUCUCUUGGUCCGAUACUGACGCUGAGGCGCGAAAGCGUGGGGAGCAAACAGGAUUAGAUACCCUGGUAGUC